Molecule: ribosomal RNA, 777 nt
Filed under: Salmonella enterica
Lineage: Bacteria; Pseudomonadati; Pseudomonadota; Gammaproteobacteria; Enterobacterales; Enterobacteriaceae
Description: partial 23S ribosomal RNA
Rfam family: Bacterial large subunit ribosomal RNA
Source: RNAcentral
AGACCCGAAACCCGGUGAUCUAGCCAUGGGCAGGUUGAAGGUUGGGUAACACUAACUGGAGGACCGAACCGACUAAUGUUGAAAAAUUAGCGGAUGACCUGUGGCUGGGGGUGAAAGGCCAAUCAAACCGGGAGAUAGCUGGUUCUCCCCGAAAGCUAUUUAGGUAGCGCCUCGUGAAUUCAUCUCCGGGGGUAGAGCACUGUUUCGGCUAGGGGGCCAUCCCGGCUUACCAACCCGAUGCAAACUGCGAAUACCGGAGAAUGUUAUCACGGGAGACACACGGCGGGUGCUAACGUCCGUCGUGAAGAGGGAAACAACCCAGACCGCCAGCUAAGGUCCCAAAGUCAUGGUUAAGUGGGAAACGAUGUGGGAAGGCCCAGACAGCCAGGAUGUUGGCUUAGAAGCAGCCAUCAUUUAAAGAAAGCGUAAUAGCUCACUGGUCGAGUCGGCCUGCGCGGAAGAUGUAACGGGGCUAAACCAUGCACCGAAGCUGCGGCAGCGACGCUUAUGCGUUGUUGGGUAGGGGAGCGUUCUGUAAGCCUGUGAAGGUGGCCUGUGAGGGUUGCUGGAGGUAUCAGAAGUGCGAAUGCUGACAUAAGUAACGAUAAAGCGGGUGAAAAGCCCGCUCGCCGGAAGACCAAGGGUUCCUGUCCAACGUUAAUCGGGGCAGGGUGAGUCGACCCCUAAGGCGAGGCCGAAAGGCGUAGUCGAUGGGAAACAGGUUAAUAUUCCUGUACUUGGUGUUACUGCGAAGGGGGGACGGAGAAGGCUAUGUUG